This 416-nucleotide ribosomal RNA is filed under the name uncultured bacterium. RNAcentral's name for it is "bacterial SSU rRNA". It matches the Rfam family "Bacterial small subunit ribosomal RNA", at positions 355 to 787 of the family's 1533-position model. The record is from RNAcentral.
UGGGGAAUAUUGGGCAAUGGGCGCAAGCCUGACCCAGCAACGCCGCGUGAAGGAAGAAGGCUUUCGGGUUGUAAACUUCUUUGGCAGGGGAAGAUAAUGACGGUACCCUGAAAACAAGCUCCGGCUAACUACGUGCCAGCAGCCGCGGUGAUACGUAGGGAGCAAGCGUUAUCCGGAAUUACUGGGUGUAAAGGGCGCGUAGGCGGGUCUGCAAGUCAGAUGUGAAAUUGCCGGGGCUUAACCUCGGAGCUGCAUUUGAAACUGUAGGUCUUGAGUGAUGGAGAGGCAGGCGGAAUUCCCGGUGUAGCGGUGGAAUGCGUAGAUAUCGGGAGGAACACCAGUGGCGAAGGCGGCCUGCUGGACAUUAACUGACGCUGAGGCGCGAAAGUGUGGGGAGCAAACAGGAUUAGAUACCC